This 118-nucleotide ribosomal RNA is filed under the name Pteropus alecto (black flying fox). The record is from RNAcentral. Lineage: Eukaryota; Metazoa; Chordata; Mammalia; Chiroptera; Pteropodidae.
GUCUACAGUUAUGCUACCCUGAACAAGCCCGAUCCCGUCUGAUCUCGGAAGCUAAGAAGGGUCGGGCCUGGUUAGUACUUGGAUGGGAGACCACCUAGGAAAUCAGGUGCUGUAGGCU